Sorex araneus (European shrew) is the source of this 122-nucleotide small nucleolar RNA. RefSeq annotates it as small nucleolar RNA SNORA61. NCBI's taxonomy places the organism in Eukaryota, Metazoa, Chordata, Mammalia, Eulipotyphla, Soricidae. The record is from RefSeq and is a predicted model, not a curated record. The transcript has a single exon.
UACCUCUGUUCCCUUUCCCAUCAGUUCUGAACCCCGGUCUUGGUGCUCUCAAAGGAGGACUAGUAAGACUGCAUCUGGCCUCACAGGGCUGUCAUGGAGCAUACAGGCUAGUUCAAACAAGG